AAAGAGGGGGACCUUCGGGCCUCUCGCGUCAGGAUAUGCCUAGGUGGGAUUAGCUAGUUGGUGAGGUAAUGGCUCACCAACUGAGACGAUCCCUAGCUGGUCUGAGAGGAUGAUCAGCCACACUGGAACUGAGACACGGUCCAGACUCCUACGGGAGGCAGCAGUGGGGAAUAUUGCACAAUGGGCGCAAGCCUGAUGCAGCCAUGCCGCGUGUAUGAAGAAGGCCUUCGGGUUGUAAAGUACUUUCAGCAGUGAGGAAGGGGUGUACGUUAAUAGCGUGCA
Molecule: ribosomal RNA, 282 nt
Filed under: Vibrio tapetis
Lineage: Bacteria; Pseudomonadati; Pseudomonadota; Gammaproteobacteria; Vibrionales; Vibrionaceae
Description: partial 16S ribosomal RNA
Rfam family: Bacterial small subunit ribosomal RNA
Source: RNAcentral